This 982-nucleotide long non-coding RNA is filed under the name Astyanax mexicanus (Mexican tetra). Its description in RNAcentral is "lncRNA (ENSAMXG00005006754.1)". Lineage: Eukaryota; Metazoa; Chordata; Actinopteri; Characiformes; Acestrorhamphidae. The record is from RNAcentral.
AAAAAAAAAAAAACAGCAAUUCCAACCGUUUGAACAGUUUGACCCCUUCAUUACAGGGUAUCGACUACCUGCACUGCAGCGCCCUGCGUUCCCACGGCUGCUUGUCCUCCUUCAGCUGUGUAGUGGACAGUCCCUCUGUCCUAAAGGUCCCUGACUUCGGGCUUAGUGCUGUGAGACACUCUGGGAGCUCAAGGGACAACUCGAGCCAGGACCACUGGACCUCGCUGUUGUGGAGGGCUCCUGAAAUCCUGAAGCUAAUGGCACUCAGAAGGGGGAUGUGUAGAGUUUUGUCAUCAUCGCACAGGAAGUGGUGUACCGCCGAGGACCCUUCUACAUCCCCAGCAGCUCUCUGGGGGCCAGAGUGGGAGAAAAUAAGUUGUGAAGUUGCCAGAUCUUGCACCUGUCCCAACUCCACUUCUGCGUGACGAACCAGCAAAGUCCUCCCGCCUUUUAAGCCUACCUUUUAAAAUCCUUCUCGGCUUUUCCCUGUAUUUUUAGAUCAGUGGCUGCUCAGCUCAUAGCUGGGAGACGGUCCGCGUCGAGACCUAUGAAUGCGUCACUGUUUAUUUCAGUGACAUUGAGGGUUUCACCGCCAUGUCCGCCUCCCUCAAACCAAUGCAGGUGAUGAUAGACAUUGAAACAAGCCUUUAAACAGUGGUGGCAUGAAAAAACAUAUAUAUUCAGUGUUUAUAAAGGACUUAUACUGUAUGUAAUUGAUUGCAGGUGUGGCCUGAUCAGUCACUGGGUCAUAAGUGAGAUAGCAGUGUUAAAUGUUCAGUGUUAAUAGGACACUAUGCAGUGCACCAUUUACUCAUGCUAGUGUUGUUUAUUAACUCAUUAGUGUUGUAGCACUAAAACCUAAAGUGUUAAUUUUACACCGUUUGGAGUAUAUAUAUGGUCCCACACUACAAAAAGUAAAUAUUACAUUAUUAAAGUGUUAAACCUAGUAUUAAUGACAUUAAAUGGUGAAAAUGAAAUAAAA